Molecule: ribosomal RNA, 270 nt
Filed under: uncultured bacterium
Lineage: Bacteria
Description: partial 16S ribosomal RNA
Rfam family: Bacterial small subunit ribosomal RNA
Source: RNAcentral
AGCGAACGCUGGCGGCGUGCUUAACACAUGCAAGUCGAACGCGCAGCAUUCUGUAGCAAUACAGGGUGUGGGCGCGUGGCGAACGGGUGCGUAACACGUGGAUAACCUUCCUUCAGGUGGGGAAUAACCCCGCGAAAGCGGGGCUAAUACCGCAUAACAUGACGAUGCCACAUGGUGUUGUCUUCAAAGCCGCAAGGCGCCAGAAGAGGGAUCCGCGGCCGAUUAGCUUGUUGGCGAGGUAAUGGCUCACCAAGGCAUUGAUCGGUAGCC